RNAcentral lists this long non-coding RNA (29723 nucleotides) under Pelobates cultripes (western spadefoot toad). The record is from RNAcentral. Lineage: Eukaryota; Metazoa; Chordata; Amphibia; Anura; Pelobatidae.
CACUGAGCAGGAAGUCAUUAAGGCUUUAGUUUAGUGAGAAGACAGUACUGCAGAAAAUGCAGAUAUUGUGGGAGACGCUCACCAACACCCCAGAAAAACCAGGUGAGAAUGAGUUUUAAAGAGAUUCCAUUGUACAUUGCAGGCUGGGAAAUCGAUUGCUGUAACUGUCACCAGAAAACAUCUGUAGCAUCUAUUGUUUUGUAAAUAUUAUUAUACACAGAGUAUUCUAAAUGCUGCUCUGUAUCCAUGUAUCCAUGGUUAAAGAAAAAAGCUCAUAUAAAGAUUCAUUUUAUUGUUUGUUUUAACCAUUGUAUUACAGUGUGGGAUUCAGAUAUGAAAGCGAAAUUUUAUUCUAUUUUAUUGGUUGUAUUCUAUCAUUUAUGGAUUGGUUGUGUCUGUAGAAAGGAAAUAUAUUCAAUUAAAUUCUCUUUUAUUCACACAUUAACAUGUAUUUUAUAUAUAUAUAUUGUGUAUUGUAAGUGGCUUUACAUUUGCUUGAUCAAGAUAUACAGUAAUUAAUAUUUUUAUUCUUCAUUGAACUGUUGUUUUUUAUGUUUAUAGUGAUGUAUUGUAGUGGUGUAUAUAUGUGAAAUACACAAUAUGCAUGGAAUGGCUAUAUAUGUGCGUAUAUAUUAUAGGCGAAAACUUAGUUGGUAUUGUUACACUUAACAUAUAGUAUUGAUUUAGAAAAGAAAAACACGAAUAUAUAUAAUAUAGUUAUUAAGUGGUUUUAAAAAUGUAUCGAGAAAUGAAUCCAGGAUGUGUAUUCUCUAUCCAUGGGGGAAAGGAGAUAGUUAAAUAGAGAUCACUUGUCAGUUGAUAUUCACUGCUAGUAGAAAGCAGGGAGAUUUAUAUUUGAAUGCUUUCUUCCUCUGUUUUAUAUUAUGAUUUAUAAAGAGUUGAGUUGUGUGUGUUGUGUGUGAGUCUGUGUGUGCGAUUGUGUGUGUCUGUGGCUCCUUGGCUUAUGCUUACAGGAUCUGCCAAUAUGUGUUUGAUUGUGAGAGAGAGAGAGUCUGUGUGCGUGUGUGUGUGUGUGUGUGUGUGUGUGUGAAUCUGUGUGUGUGAAUCUGUGUGUGUGUGUGUGUGUGUGUGUGUGUGAAUCUGUGUGUGUGAAUCUUUGUGUGUGUGUGUGUGUGUGAAUCUGUGUGUGUGUGUGUGUGAAUCUGUGUGUGUGUGAAUCUUUGUGUGUGUGUGUGUGUGUAUGUGUGUGAAUCUGUGUGUGUGAAUCUUUGUGUGUGUGUGUGUGAAUCUGUGUGUGUGAUAGUGUCUGUAACUCCCUUUAUUUUGCCUGCAGGUUCUGCCUGUAUGUGUGUCUGAUUUAAGAAUGAACUAUUUAAGCUGAGAUCUUGGUACAGUCUCCCCCAUUCUCUGUUGUGGGCACUGAAGAUCUAGGCAGCAAUUUGUUGCAUCUAAUGUUUGACUGACCCUUUAGUAUUUUGGCACUAUGCUAUAGAUGCUCGUUAGGAUUGUGAGGUCUGCUACCCUAAUCAACGCUAAAUGGUGAUCGAUUUUUAUUUUUAUUAAAAUAUUUCCAUGUGACAGUAUGUCUGGUGCUGUGUACAACCUAUUUUUAAGUGAUGGAAAACAAGUGGUUUGGGACAUCCUUAUUGGUCCAAUGCCAGUACAGACACCUCUAAUACGUUUCUAUAGCAUUUCAUCUUCUUAUUAUUGGGAGUUGGUUUUACAUCUAUGUUUUUGUUUCAUGGUCUCUAUAAUCCCUGCGGUAAGAUUAGAGGCUGGGUGUUUCAUGGUCUCUAUUCCUGUUGUAAAAUUAGAGGCUGGGUGUCUGGUGGUUUCUAUAAUCCUUACCGUUAGAUUAGAUUAUUUUGGUUUGAUUGGAAGUAAAACUCUUGCACUGAGAUUAGAGGAUGCUACUUUUGGUAAAAUCUGUAAUUCCUGCAGUAAAAUGAUAGAUUUGGCGUUGUAUGGUCUCUAUAAUUCUUACAGUAGGUUAGAGACUCUAUAUUUGAUGUUUUCUUUAAUUCCUUCAGUGAGAUUAGAGGAUCGGGGUUUAAUAAUUUCUGUAACACUUGCAGUGAGAUUAGAGGGUUUAAUAAUUUCUGUGAGAUUAGAGGGUUUAAUAAUUUCUGUAACACUUGCAGUGAGAUUAGAGGAUGGGGGUUUCAUAAUUUCUGUAAUUCUUGCAGUGAGAUUAGAGACUGGGGGUUUCAUAAUUUAUGUAAUUCUUGCAGUAAGAUUAGAGACUGGGGAUUUAAUAAUUUCUGUAAUUCUUGCAGUGAGAUUAGAGGAUGGUAUAAUAAUUUCUGUAAUUCUUGCAGUUAGACUAGAGGCUGUGGGUUUAAUAAUUUCUGUAACACUUGCAGUAUAAUUAGAGGCUGCAUGUUUCAUGGCCUCCAAAAUUCUUGCAGUAUAAUUAGAGGCACGUUUCAUGGUCUCCUUAAGUCUUGCAGUAUAAUUAGAGGCUGCAUGUUUCAUGGCCUCCAUAAGUCUUGCAGUAUAAUUAGAGGCACGUUUCAUGGUCUCCAUAAAUCUUGCAGUAUAAUUAGAGGCUGCAUGUUUCAUUGUCUCCAUAAGUCUUGAGUUAAUUAGAGGCACGUUUCAUGGUCUCCAUAAGUCUUGCAGUAUAAUUAGAGGCACGUUUCAUGGUCACCAUAAGUCUUGCAGUAUAAUUAGAGGCUGCAUGUUUCAUGGCCUCCAUAAGUCUUGCAGUAUAAUUAGAGGCUGCAUGUUUCAUGGUCUCCAUAAGUCUUGCAGUAUAAGUAGAGGCUGCAUGUUUCAUGGUCUCCAUAAGUCUUGCAGUAUAAUUAGAGGCUGCAUGUUUCAUGGUCUCCAUAAGUCUUGUAGUUUAAUUAGAGGCUGCAUGUUUCAUGGCCUCCAUAAAUCUUGCAGUAUAAUUAGAGGCUGCAUGUUUCAUGGUCUCCAUAAGUCUUGCAGUAUAAUUAGAGGCUGCAUGUUUCAUGGUCUCCAUAAGUCUUGUAGUUUAAUUAGAGGCUGCAUGUUUCAUGGUCUUCAUAAAUCUUGCAGUAUAAUUAGAGGCUGGGUAUUUAUAGUCUCUCCACUUUGAACAUGGUCUCCAUAAGUCUUGUAGUUUAAUUAGAGGCUGCAUGUUUCAUGGCUUGCAAUAAUUUGAUAGAUGAUUCUUUAACACACUAUAAUAGUGUUUCAGACAUCCCAUAAUUGUUUCAUUAUUGCUAUACUUAUAGAGGCUAGCCUCCAGAAGAUUUUAAUUGUUACUAUGUGUGGGGCAGAAACUGUUGCUUUUUAUUCAAUACCAGGUUCUCCAUAUUGCUUUCUAUAAUAUUUAGUCCUCUCUAAAUGUUUUCUGUAUAAAUGAAGACUAUAUAUUAUUAUUUAUCAUCUGUGUAUGGCGGUGUUCUCUAUAAGAUUAGAGGCUGUGUAUGGCGGUAUUCGCUGUAAGAUUAGAGGCUGUGUAUGGCGGUGUUCUCUAUAAGAUUAGAGGCUGUGUCCUGGCCUGGUGUUCUCUAUAAGAUUAGAGGCUGUGUACGGCGGUGUUUUCUAUAAGAUUAGAUGCUGUGUAUGGCGGUGUUCUCUAUAAGAUUAGAGGCUGUGUAUGGCGGUGUUCUCUGUAAGAUUAGAGGCUGUGUAUGGCGGUGUUCUCUAUAAGAUUAGAGUCUGUGUCCUGGCAUGGUGUUCUCUAUAAAAUUAGAGGCUGUGUAUGGCAGUGUUCUCUAUAAGAUUAGAGGCUGUGUCCCGGCAUGGUGUUCUCUAUAAAAUUAGAGGCUGUGUACGGCAGUGUUCUCUAUAAAAUUAGAGGGUGUGUACGGCGGUCUUCUCUUUAAGAUUAGAGACUGUGUACGGCGGUGUUCUCUAUAACAUUAGAGGCUGUGUAUGGCGGUGUUCUCUAUAAGAUUAGAGACUGUGUACGGUGGAGUUCUCUAUAAGAUUAGAGGCUGUGUCCUGGCCUGGUGUUCUCUGUAAGAUUAGAGGCUGUGUAUGGCGGUGUUCUCUAUAAGAUUAGAGGCUGUGUCCUGGCCUGGUGUUCUCUGUAAGAUUAGAGGCUGUGUAUGGUGGUGUUCUCUAUAAGAUUAGAGGCUGUGUAUGGCGGUGUUCUCUAUAAGAUUAGAGACUGUGUACGGCGGUGUUCUCUGUAACAUUAGAGGCUGUGUAUGGCGGUGUUCUCUAUAAGAUUAGAGACUGUGUACGGUGGAGUUCUCUAUAAGAUUAGAGGCUGUGUCCUGGCCUGGUGUUCUCUGUAAGAUUAGAGGCUGUGUAUGGCGGUGUUCUCUAUAAGAUUAGAGGCUGUGUCCUGGCCUGGUGUUCUCUGUAAGAUUAGAGGCUGUGUAUGGUGGUGUUCUCUAUAAGAUUAGAGGCUGUGUAUGGCGGUGUUCUCUAUAAGAUUAGAGGCUGUGUAUGGCGGUGUUCUCUAUAAAAUUAGAGGCUAUGUAUGGCAGUGUUCUCUAUAAGAUUAGAGUCUGUGUCCUGGCAUGGUGUUCUCUAUAAAAUUAGAGGCUGUGUAUGGCAGUGUUCUCUAUAAGAUUAGAGGCUGUGUCCCGGCCUGGUGUUCUCUAUAAGAUUAGAGGUUGUGUAUGGUGGUGUUCUCUAUAAGAUUAGAGGCUGUGUCCUGGCCUGGUGUUCUCUAUAAGAUUAGAGGCUGUGUCCCGGCCUGGUGUUCUCUAUAAAAUUAGAGGCUGUGUCCCUGCCUGGUGUUCUCUAUAAGAUUAGAGGCUGUGUCCCGGCCUGGUGUUCUCUAUAAGAUUAGAGGCUGUGUAUGGCGGUGUUCUCUAUAAGAUUAGAGGCUGUGUAUGGUGGUGUUCUCUAUAAGAUUAGAGGCUGUGCAUGGCGGUGUUCUCUAUAAGAUUAGAGGCUCUGUAUGGCAGUGUUCUCUAUAAGAGUAGAGGCUGUGUCCUGGCCUGGUGUUCUCUGUAAGAUUAGAGGCUGUGUCCCGGCUUGGUGUUCUCUAUAAGAUUAGAGGCUGUGUAUGGCGGUGUUCUCUAUAAGAUUAGAGGCUCUGUAUGGCAGUGUUCUCUAUAAGAUUAGAGGCUGUGUAUGGCGGUGUUCUCUAUAAGAUUAGAGGCUGUGUAUGGCGGUGUUCUCUAUAAGAUUAGAGGCUGUGUAUGGCGGUGUUCUCUAUAAGAGUAGAGGCUGUGUAUGGCAGUGUUCUCUAUAAGAGUAGAGGCUGUGUAUGGCGGUGUUCUCUAUAAGAUUAGAGGAUGUGUCCCGGCCUGGUGUUCUCUGUAAGAUUAGAGGCUGUGUAUGGCGGUGUUCUCUAUAAGAUUAGAGGCUGUGUAUGGCGGUGUUCUCUAUAAGAUUAGAGGCUGUGUCCUGGCGUGGUGUUCUCUGUAAGAUUAGAGGCUGUGUAUGGCGGUGUUCUCUAUAAGAUUAGAGGCUGUGUAUGGUGGUGUUCUCUAUAAGAUUAGAGGCUGUGUAUGGUGGUGUUCUCUAUAAGAUUAGAGGCUGUGCAUGGCGGUGUUCUCUAUAAGAUUAGGGACUGUGUAUGGUGGUGUUCUCUGUAAGAUUAGAGGCUGUGUAUGGCGGUGUUCUCUAUAAGAUUAGAGGCUGUGUAUGGUGGUGUUCUCUAUAAGAUUAGAGGCUGUGUAUGGUGGUGUUCUCUAUAAGAUUAGAGGCUGUGCAUGGCGGUGUUCUCUAUAAGAUUAGGGACUGUGUAUGGUGGUGUUCUCUGUAAGAUUAGAGGCUGUGUAUGGCGGUGUUCUCUAUAAGAUUAGAGGCUGUGUAUGGCGGUGUUCUCUAUAAGAUUAGAGGAUGUGUAUGGCAGUGUUCUCUAUAAGAUUAGAGGCUGUGUAUGGUGGUGUUCUCUAUAAGAUUAGAGGCUGUGUCCUGGCCUGGUGUUCUCUGUAAGAUUAGAUGCUGUGUAUGGCGGUGUUCUCUAUAAGAUUAGAGGCUGUGUAUGGUGGUGUUCUCUAUAAGAUUAGAGGCUGUGUAUGGCGGUGUUCUCUAUAAGAUUAGAGGCUGUGUAUGGCGGUGUUCUCUAUAAGAUUAGAGGCUGUGUCCUGGCCUGGUGUUCUCUGUAAGAUUAGAGGCUGUGUAUGGCGGUGUUCUCUAUAAGAUUAGAGGCUGUGUAUGGUGGUGUUCUCUAUAAGAUUAGAGGCUGUGUAUGGUGGUGUUCUCUAUAAGAUUAGAGGCUGUGCAUGGCGGUGUUCUCUAUAAGAUUAGGGACUGUGUAUGGUGGUGUUCUCUGUAAGAUUAGAGGCUGUGUAUGGCGGUGUUCUCUAUAAGAUUAGAGGCUGUGUAUGGCGGUGUUCUCUAUAAGAUUAGAGGAUGUGUAUGGCAGUGUUCUCUAUAAGAUUAGAGGCUGUGUAUGGUGGUGUUCUCUAUAAGAUUAGAGGCUGUGUCCUGGCCUGGUGUUCUCUGUAAGAUUAGAUGCUGUGUAUGGCGGUGUUCUCUAUAAGAUUAGAGGCUGUGUAUGGUGGUGUUCUCUAUAAGAUUAGAGACUGUGUACGGCGGUGUUCUCUAUAAGAUUAGAGGCUCUGUAUGGCAGUGUUCUCUAUAAGAUUAGAGGCUGUGUAUGGCGGUGUUCUCUAUAAAAUUAGAUGCUGUGUAUGGCGGUGUUCUCUAUAAGAUUAGAGUCUGUGUCCUGGCAUGGUGUUCUCUAUAAGAUUAGAGACUGUGCAUGGCGGUGUUCUCUAUAAGAUUAGAGGCUGUGUCCCGGCCUGGUGUUCUCUAUAAGAUUAGAGGCUGUGUACGGCGGUGUUCUCUAUAAGAUUAGAGGCUCUGUAUGGCAGUGUUCUCUAUAAGAUUAGAGGCUGUGUAUGGCGGUGUUCUCUAUAAAAUUAGAUGCUGUGUAUGGCGGUGUUCUCUAUAAGAUUAGAGUCUGUGUCCUGGCAUGGUGUUCUCUAUAAGAUUAGAGACUGUGCAUGGCGGUGUUCUCUAUAAGAUUAGAGGCUGUGUCCCGGCCUGGUGUUCUCUAUAAGAUUAGAGGCUGUGUACGGCGGUGUUCUCUAUAAGAUUAGAGGCUCUGUAUGGCAGUGUUCUCUAUAAGAUUAGAGGCUGUGUAUGGCGGUGUUCUCUAUAAAAUUAGAUGCUGUGUAUGGCGGUGUUCUCUAUAAGAUUAGAGUCUGUGUCCUGGCAUGGUGUUCUCUAUAAGAUUAGAGACUGUGCAUGGCGGUGUUCUCUAUAAGAUUAGAGUCUGUGUCCUGGCAUGGUGUUCUCUAUAAGAUUAGAGGCUGUGUAUGGUGGUGUUCUCUAUAAGAUUAGAGGCUGUGUCCCGGCCUGGUGUUCUCUAUAAGAUUAGAGGCUGUGUAUGGUGGUGUUCUCUAUAAGAUUAGAGGCUGUGUUCUGGCCUUGUGUUCUCUAUAAGUUUAGAGGCUGUGUCCCGGCCUGGUGUUCUCUAUAAGAUUAGAGGCUGUGUCCCGGCCUGAUGUUCUCUAUAAGAUUAGAGGCUGUGUCCCGGCCUGGUGUUCUUUAUAAGAUUAGAGGCUGUGUCCCGGCCUGGUGUUCUCUAUAAGAUUAGAGGCUGUGUCCCGGCCUGGUGUUCUCUAUAAGAUUAGAGGCUGUGUGCCGGCCUGGUGUUCUUUAUAGAAUUAGAGGCUGUGUCCCGGCCUGGUGUUCUCUAUAAGAUUAGAGGCUGUGUCCUCUAUAAAAUUAGAGGCUGCGGUGUUCUCUAUAAGAUGUUGUGUCCUGGCAUGGUGUUCUCUAUAAGAUUAGAGACUGUGUAUGGCGGUGUUCUCUACAAGAUUAGAGGCUGUGUCCCGGCCUGGUGUUCUCUGUAUAGAAUUAGAGGCUGUGUCCCGGCCUGGUGAUUCUCUAUAAGAUUAGAGGCUGUGUAUGGUGGUGUUCUCUAUAAGAUUAGAGGCUGCGUCCUGGCCUGGUGUUCUCUAUAAGAUUAGAGGCUGUGUAUGGCGGUGUUCUCUAUAAGAUUAGAGGCAGUGUCUGGUUCUCUAUAAGUUCUCUGUUCUCUAUAAGAUUAGAGGCUGUGUCCCGGCCUGGUGUUCUCUAUAAGAUUAGAGGCUGUGUCUCCUGCGUCCUCCUGGUGUUCUCUAUAAGAUUAGAGGCUGUGUCCCGGCUUGGUGUUCUCUAUAAGAUUAGAGACUGUGUACCGGCCUGGUGUUCUCUAUAAGAUUAGAGGCUGUGUAUGGUGAUGUUCUCUAUAAGAUUAGAGACUGUGUAUGGCGGUGUUCUCUACAAGAUUAGAGGCUGUGUCCCGGCCUGGUGUUCUCUACAAGAUUAGAGGCUGUGUAUGGUGGUGUUCUCUAUAAGAUUAGAGACUGUGUCCGGCCUGGUGUUCUCUAUAAGAUUAGAGGCUGUGUAUGGUGGUGUUCUCUAUAAGAUUAGAGGCUGUGUCCCGGCUUGGUGUUCUCUAUAAGAUUAGAGGCUGUGUCCCGGCCUGGUGUUCUCUAUAAGAUUAGAGGCUGUGUAUGGUGGUGUUCUCUAUAAGAUUAGAGGCUUUGUCCCGGCUUGGUGUUCUCUAUAAGAUUAGAGGCUGUGUCCCGGCCUGGUGUUCUCUAUAAGAUUAGAGGCUGUGUCCCGGCCUGGUGUUCUCUAUAAGAUUAGAGGCUGUGUCCCGGCCUCUCUCACUCACUGCAAUGGUUUGGAAGAGGUUUCCGUAGCCCUGUGCUGUCAGUCUAACUUCCCAAGUGUAACAGAUGCGGUUCUCAAGCAGUUCUUUCUGCUGAUUUCUUUUAUUCAGUCUCACAUAUUUCUCCCCAUGAUCUGUGUUUCCAUAGAGAGAGGGAUAAAGAGGGGACCAUGGCCACAAAUCUCCUGCUCUGUUGAGAAUAAAAGAAGCCUUUUUCAAUAGCUGACCUCGUCUGGACAUGGAGAAAGAGCUGGGAGCUGAGAUACUGUUACAAGAAUCGCACAGAUUCUCUCAAAUCACUACAUUCAGAUAUUCAUUUAAAUCUUUACUUUCACAAUGAGAAAUAUUAGCAUCUUUUUCUUUCUGGGCAAUAACCAUAACUGUGGAACAAACACACCACCUGGUAAUUAUCUGGGGGCUGGGAGCCCCUAUUAUAAGAAAGUGCAAUUUCCACCUUUAGAAUUAUUAAUGGACAGAUGGUUAUAUUUUAGUCAAUAAAAUCUAAAGAAAUAAAAAAAAUGGGGGGCACAAAAAUGCUCAAAAAUGUAUUUAGAAAAAAUUAAGUUACAAUUAAGACUUCCCUUCCCUAUAAACUUAUAGGUCUUUCUUAUACACACACCUAAGUUCAUUAUAGAAAUGUACAUAAUGAAUUACCUACUAUUUAUAUAUAGGAAAGGAAUGUUUUAAUUACUUUAUUGUUUCUAAAUAAAUGAUUGAGCAUUCUGUGCCAAUUUUUUUAAAUUUCUUUAUAUUUUAUGCAUUCAAGAUUAAGCAUCUGUCAAAUAAUAAAAAAAACAAGUAAAAAAUUAAAUUAAAUAAUAUAUAUAUAGAUAUAUAUAUAUAUAUAGAGAGAGAGAGAGAGAGAGAGAGAGAGAGAGAGAGAGAGAGAGAGAGAGAGAGAGAGAGAGAGAGAGAGAGAGAGAGAUAGGGAGGGAGUUUAAAAGUUGCAAACUAUUAUAUUCUUAAAUUAUUUACUAUUAUGUGUGUAUGUGUCUUUGUGUCAGGUACAUGUGUGUCUGAUGUCUGUGUAUGUUCAUAUGUGCUGCUGUUUGUGUUUACUGUCUGUGCCUGAUGCCUGCAUGUGUGAGUGUGUAUGUAGAUGUGGCUGUACCUUGUCUGUCUGUGUGUGUGUGUGGGUGUGUGUGUGUGAGCCUAAGACUUUGCACAGAGAGAGGCUGGGGCUGAUUGUGUGCAAUUGUUAAAUACAGCAUGGGACUGGGAGCACAGAACCUGUCACUCCUGGCAUUCAGUGUCCUGACAUCUAUAGAAGGACCUUCACCUCCAGCACAAGUUCACUUGGAAGCAAGACACAAGGGGUUGGGUUUGGUGGGAACAAGUGCAGGAGCAGCACAAUACAAAAUAGCCUGUGAACUGUGAAGCCAGCUUGCAGGUUUACCCCUGAUACAAUGAGCUGGGGAGACUGCAGUUAUUGGGGUGGAACAGCUGCUGUCAGCAGGCAGGGCUGAAAAUGAUCACAGAUUUCAUCCCUGGACCCACUGUCUGAGCAUCAAAGGCAUUUAUUAUUGUAUGUAUGUUCCUAUUGUUGUUAUCAUUAUCACCUAUUAUAGAGGGUUCCCCUUCUAGAACACUCAGACAGGUUCAACUUACAGACCAAGUCACCCUGAGCAGGCAGCACCAAGAUUUAAUCAGGGACCCCUCUAAUUAAAGGAUAAACUGGCUUGGUGGCUGAGACUCUUAGAAUAAGGGGCAAUUUAUUCUAAACCACACACAAAAAGAAACAGGUUAUCAGUUCUCUGUAUUCCAAUGCAUAACAAAUUCAGAACGAGAUGUUUUGUUUUUUUUGUUUUUUUUUAAAGAUAAAUUCGAUUAGAUUAUUUUGGUGUAAAGUAAAAUAUUGAAAAGGUGUACUUUUUAUGUUAAAAAAAAGUUUUACAAAUGCAAAACAUUAUGCAUAUUCAAUAUUAAUAAAUACAGUAUUCACUUCAAAAUUGCAUCUCACUAUUCCUGUACAAAGUUGAAAACAUUACAUAUAUAUUUAAAAAAAUAAAAUAAAUAACGAAUUCUUACAAUUUAAGGCUGCUUGGUGUAAAUUGUCCCAUUAAAUGUAAAUAAUAAAAUAUCUCUGAAAUAAUAAAAACCUUAUAAAUACCCAAGUGAUUUUCAACUCAGAAUGUCCAUUGUUGCAUGGUACAAAUAAAAUGUGUUAGCGAAAACUUUUUGUACCGACUAAGAAAACAAAACAAAAAAACAAUCAAAAACAAACAUACCAAUAACAAAUAAUAUUUACCUAGUUACGAAACAAACCCAAACUACAAUUGUCUGUGUAAUCGGUAGUAAUGCAUUUCUAAAGUGCUCCCCCUUCUCUGUGUCUCUAAAUAUCUAAUAAACCUCCUUUUUAUUAACACUAUAGCUAUCAAAUUUAACUUGAACCAACUUACUUUAUUAUUUAUAUUUAAACUUUCUCCCCUCUCAACAAGACUCAAAAAAUUCAGGAAUUUUAAUAUCUGAAAUCUACUAAAAAAAUGCAUCUUUUAUUAAGCUAUAUUUGUUGUUCAAUAAUAGAUAGAAUGUAACUUGUUGUUAGACAGACGUUCUAACCUAUUAAAUGUCGUACGUCUCUAGAUGAAUAAGAGGAUCUGAUGAGUCUAAUUGAGGUGAAGCUCUCCCUGUGUGUGGCGAAAAGUCCUUUUAAACGUUUAACCCUUUUUUAAAUCAUGAUAGCUGUGAAAACUUUAUCCGUGCACAAUUUCUUGUCCAAAACUUUUUCUAAAUAGCGAUUUCAAUCCAGUUCUACAAAAUGUAGAUGAAUUUAAAAAGAAAUUAAGAAAAAUGAACGCUAAUAUGUUGCCCAAGUAACUGGUAAAAUACAUUUUAAUAUUAAUUUAAUAAUAACUUAACAAUUAAGGUAUUGAUACAAAAUGUUCCUUAUUAUAUGCAAAAAAAAAAAAAAUAGUGAGUUUGUUGUAUUUAAAAGAAAGAGCUAUACAUUGUUUUGCCAUUUGUUAAUAUUUCAAUAAUAUUUCGAUUAAUUAGAUCUGAUAUUUGAUUUAAAUUCUAGUAUCUUAUAUCUGAUGAAUACAGAUAACAAUAUGUAGAAAUAAAUGGCGAUUUUUAACUUUCAGUUGAUUAACUUGAUUUGUAAUCUCAAUUGAAUGAAAAUGAAAAGUAAUAUAUAUUAAGAAGAAAAUAUGCGUUUUGAAACAAAAUGUAAUUGUUAUAUUUUCUGUUCAAAUUUCAAUGUACAUAAACAAAUAAACUGAAAUACUCAGGGUGAAUUGGUGGCACUAAAUAUUGUCCCUAAGCAAUGCUUAUUCAAAAAUUACUGUAGAAUACCACUAAUCCUUAAUAAUUCGUAAUCACCCAAUACACAGAGAUAUUAAUGAACGUGUAUAUUCAAUAAUCUCGUUAUAUACAGAGUUACCACAGAACUGCAUAUUCAGUAAUUACUGUAGAAUAUAAAUAUACCACUAAACCUGUAUAAUUCAUAAUUACACAAUAUGCAGAGAUAUCAUGCAAUAUACAUAACAGUCAGGGAACCUGUAUAAUCUAUGAUCACACAGUAUACAGAGAUACCACUAAACCUGUAUAAUCUAUAAUCACACAGUAUACAGAGCUACCACUAAACCUGUAUAAUAUAUAAUCACACAGUAUGUAAAUGUAGGUGUAUGUAAAUGUUCUGAGUUAUUCCAGUAACCAGGAAAUGGCAUGAAUUAAUGAGGAAUUUGAAAUCUGAGGACAAAAAAAUGCCAAAUUAGAAAUAUUAUGCAAACCAUCUGGUUUCCCAGUUUAGUUUCUUCAAUCUAAAACUUGACAUCUUCUGGUUAAUUCUGGAUAAUUACUGUUAUAGUGAAUAACCUGGUUUGGAUUUGUUUGCUAGAUCCAUGUUUUGCUGCUUCUUCAAAUUAAUGGGCAUCACAUGUAAAGUGCUGCCCUGCAUUCUCUAGCAUUUCAAUUCUACAUUCUACAGGGCAAAACGUUUUGUGCACUGCCCAUCAGUAUGUAGAUAUUAUAUGUGUCCAGGAAUAUGUGGUAUAUCGGGGAACCCUAUCUGUGGCAGCUCCCAAUGUCUCAGACCCAGGCUAAGGUAUGAUUCUGACUCAGAUUGCUCAAUUCUGACACGAAAUUUCAGUUCUGGCAUUAACUAAUAACAGCGAGGGGUAAACAAGAAACCCAAGUGUCCAAUUAAAAUUUAGAGCAAUUCAGUCUCUUCUACACACCACAGACAAACCUACACACCAUAGACACACCUACACACCAUAGACAAACACUGUACACACCAUAGACAAACCUGCACACCAUAGACCAGGGGUAGGCAACCUUCUGCACUCCAGAUGUUGUGGACUACAUCUCCACAAUGCUCUUACACCCAUAAUGCUGGCAAAGUAUCAUGGGAGUUGUAGUUCAAAACAUCUGCAGUGCCGAAAGUUGCCUAUGCCUGCCAUAGACGAACCUACACACUAUAGACAAACCUACACACUGUAGACAAACCUACACACCAUAGAGCUGCUGUAUGUCCACAUAGCUAUGUGGAAAGUUAAUUUGAGCAGUUCUAAAAAAAAAAUCUACACAUGAUUAAAAAAAGAAAAUUAAAGGGACACUAUAGUCCUAUAUUCCUAUAUACACUAUAUACACUGUUUUCCUCCCUUGCAACUAUCAUUAGUCUAAUACUAUCCUUACCUUUUUGUGUCAUUUUACCCCACUCCCUCUAGCAUGUAAGCUAAUUGAGCAGGGCCCUCAACCUCUUUGUUCCUGUGUGUCCAACUUGUCUGGUUACAACUAAAUGUUUGUUCGUCCACCCACUGUAAAGCACUGCGGAAUUUGUUGGCGCUAUAUAAAUAAUAACAUAAUAAUAAUAAUAAUAGUCACCAGAACAACUACAGCAUAAUGUCAUUGUUCUGGUGAGUAUAGUCAGUUCAUGCAGGCUUUUUUUUUUAAUAUAAACACUGCAUUUUAAGAGAAAAACAAGUGUUUACCUUGUUGCCAGUGGCAGUCUCUCAGUUGGCCACUAGUGGUGCUUUCUGGGGCCGUGUCUCACAGUGUACCGGACUGAUGUUCAGUGAUGCACUGAUGAGGAAAUGCUAAUUGGUGCAGUGCAGCAUUUUGCCGCGCAUGUGCAAUAGCCUCCCAAUGCUUUACUAUGGGAGACAGGCAGGGCCAACUGAAGUGAGACCUGCGUAACAUGGGUAAAAAGAUGAGUUUAAGCAUCUUUUUACUGCGAUCUAGGGGAAGCUGGGGAGCUAAACAGUUAUUAUAAUACUCUGUGUCAGGAAUACGUUUGAGUUUCUGACACUAUAAUGUUCCUCUAAGUUUCAUAAAACGUAAUAAACUUUUUUUAAAAAAAUUUGAUGUAAGUUGUCUUUUAAUUAAUCUUUUUUCACAUAUUGCGAUUUACUAUGUGUAUAUUUGUUCAAACAUUAUAUAUACUGUAUAUUUUUUGAGAAUAACAUUCAAUACCUCCUUCUAAAAUAAGAAAUCUACUAGAUUUGUGCAUGGUGGAAAAAUUUGGUUUGAUUGAAUCGAUUCGACCAAAACUUUAAUUUGACUUUGAUGAUUGAAUUUGGUGGCAUUUCUGCUAUUCUGAAUUUCGGCCAUGCAACCAAUUGGAGGAAAAAGAUUUGGGUGAAACAAAAAGGCGUGAAAAUGAGCUUAUCCCUAUACUGCAAAAUAUAUAAAUAUAAAAUUAAAAUUUCUAUAUAUAUAUAUUUUGUAGUAUACAGAGAGGAUAAUUUUUUUACCUGUUUGAUGAAGCUGAUUCUGGCUGGAAUUUGGUUGACCAAAUAAAAUAUUUCGACAAUAUUUUACCUUUCAAAUUUGGUCCACAUUCUGUCAAUAUUUGUGAUUUUGAGCAUUUGGUUACUUUUAAGCAUUUGUUUGAGUAUUUUAAGCGUUGGGUCUGGAUGGUCACUGGUUUAUUUCUUUAUUAUUUCUUUAUUUAUUUUAUAUAAUGGCUGUUCCCUAACCAUCAAUUAUUUCUUUUUUGACAUUAUGGCCAGAACUCAUGAAUCAAAGGAAAUUGUUUAUCCAUUGUCUGUUGUUACAAACUAUUGGUUACUGUUAUUGGAUCGCUACAACUCAGAAGCGAAUGUUAUUCAUUGUUGCAUUUCACCCAGAGUUUGACUACAGUACAGGGAUUUGGUACCUAACUCCCGAACUACGGAUCUGCUGUCUAUUCGUUAUACGAACGGCAGACCACCAGGAUCUUGGCAUGUGCCGCCACUUAACCCCGGUCACCCCUGGAACAACCGAACGGCCGACCACCCUACGAGCAGAGUGUGUCUCCACUUAAUCGCCCAGAGAGUUGCGGUCUGCAGUUAACCGCAACCUAAUUGACGGCAGCAGGGCAUUCACGUUCGUGCCCCAUCACCCGAUACUCUAACUACCUAACGGGUACCGAACAAGGGCCACCUACAGCCUGGCGUGUGGCUCCAAUUAGAAUGUUGGUUUCUGUGGUUAACCGCAGGUUAAGUGCCCCCUCCCAGUGGUCUUCAUUCGCCUCCCGAACAACGGAGACAUCCAGCGACGGAGCGGGGAUUCGUGCAGACUUCUAGCCGGUUCCUGUUCCACAAGUUUGAGAGUGAAGUCCCGCGGCCUAUUAGUCUACCUCAAAACAUGGCCACCAUCCCACGCUCAGAACCCAAAGACACGAAAAGACUUUGUUUCGAGGAAAUGAAGCGUACCAUUCGUGGAUUCUGAGCGCUCUUCGGUUAAUUGUUUCGCCUCAACCGGGGCUAUGUAAUGAAUGGUGGAAGAAACGAAUUAUGGAUAAAACUGUUAUGUAUUUUUAUUCUGCUUUCUAUGUGGCAAAAACACGUGGGUUUUUUGGGCGCUUGGAGAUAAUUGUAUUGUCAUAACCGUUGGAUUCAUUAUCUCCAAGCUGGGCGGUGACGAUUUCAAACGAUGCUUUGCAUUUCUAUUGGUCCCCCACUUGUAUUGUCCCUGUAUCCCAUCAGGUCCAGAGGGGGCUGUCCCUGGACCUGAGAUUUUGCAUAAAUAUGGUCCCCUGUGUGUCAUUAAAACCAGUUCUUGCUUGACCUUCAAAUCGCAUCCUCGACUCGUUUUGUGGGGAAAAGGGUAUCCUAGCUGUAUGAUAGCUAGUGGGAUUGCUCUACAUUUACAGGAUUCGUAUGGAAUAACUACCGAAGUGACUCUCCGCCUUCUCUGCCUUUGGGAUCCAGACCAUCCAAGUGGUCCAGCUUCCAGCUAGCCUGGGGGUAACCGUAACAUCUCUGUCAUUUGUUUUGUUAUACGGUUUGGAGUUACAGAAUUUGAAUGACCCGCCAAUCGGCUAAAAUUUGAAUUUGAUGAAAUGCAAUAUGUUUGAAACUGAAUGCGCAAGUACCUACCAUACACAGUUUAUCACAUGUCAACACUCCCAUUAGUGAAUAUAGAUGUGUAAGUACUAAUGUUUGUGAAUGUGUAAACUGUGUGUGAAUGUCUACGAGUGUGUAAAUAUAUAUAUAUACCGAUGUGCAUUUGCACACAUGAGCGUUGUUGGUGGAGGGCUUUAGAGGCUGCAAUUUAGAUGUGGGAUUGAUAAUAUGGAUUACCACAAGGGUCAUAUUUUUCCUCUACUUUGUUAAAGUUGUCUAGAAUCCCUCAUGGUAACACCUAUUCUUCAUUUACUUCCUGCUAACAACACUGUUGAUUCUAGACACGUGACCAUAAUACAUUGGGGAAAUGAAGCACUUCUCUGCAGAUUUGUAGCAUUUAAAAACCCCAGGGCAUCCCCCACCUUAGUCGUUAUAUGCUAGCUAUUGCAGUAAAUAUUGUGACACAGUAAAUGGGGCUUUGGGCUAAAGACCCAGAUUUUUUUGGAGUCUAACACCGGUUCAUACACGUAAAAACAUACAAAUAUGAAUGCCUUUGUACAUGUUCAUGGUUUCAAUGUAUCUUAUAGUUAAGAUAUAUUCACAGAUGGGUAGACUAGACCUGGGCCUUGGGUGGAAAGAUAUGGGAAGGGGAGGGAAUACAUAGUGCUUUUCUCUUUUUAAACUAAUAAUGUUAUUCUCUGAAAUCAGCUGCCUGGGAUCAUAAACAUUGCACUGAGUGAGUGGUAUCUCUUCCUCCCAAUGUGCAGCUACGUGUGUCCGUCUUCCCCUCCAGGAGCAAUCACUCCCUGCUCCUUUCUAGAGUUUAUUCAGCCAGCAGUUAGCGCACUGCCCAGUAUCUCUACAAAGCAGUAGGGUUACUAAAAUGUAAACCCACCACACAAGCAUGGCAUCAUGGGUAUAAUGAGAACAAAUGUAAAAUCCUGUCAGUCUCUGCCUGUCACCCUGAAUGGUCGUACAGAGGGCAGGAAGGGGUGUGUGCAUUGCAGCGAUGGCCACUCUAAACGGCCUGCUCCUGCAGACUGCUAUUUCCAUUAGUUCGAAGAACAGACUGUCAUGGUUGCAGUUAAAGUCAUUUCCCAAUGUUUUGCACUUUUUGACCAGCAUGAUAAGGGGCCUUCCGCCUGCACCCUCCAUGCUGAUUCCUAGCAGUGACUUGCUAAAUCUGCCUCUCUACAAUGCAGUCACCAUGGGGCAGCCACUAUAGGACUAGUAUGGGAGCAAGGUACACAUUGAAAACCCGAGCCCGAGCUAAGUAGUUAAUCCAUGUUAGUAUACUUUGACAACUUACCUGGGUCCUGACGUUUGCCUGUGGCGGUCUUGUCUCUUUUUUGUCUGUUUCUCACAAUCAGUCUGCUAUACACUGUAGCUUUCGCUCACAAGCUGUCUGUAUGGUAUCUGGGGAAAGGUAAUGGCUGGGGGAGCAAUACAAUUUAAGUUGUGGCUUGUGGUGUGAAUUAAAUGGAGACGAAAGGCACCUAGACUACUUCAUUGAGACAGGUGUGGUUGCCUUUAGCGUUCCUUUAAUUCUUACCGAAUGGCAAUGUUUACAUUGCAGGUUUCACACACCUCUAGUGAAUGUCUUCCUGGUGCCACCAAAGGCACUUCCUGUGCUGUAACCAAGUUAAACUCGGUUAUAGAUCAUAGAGCAGCAUUUGAUUAGGGCAGCAUGACACUUUCUUCUAUGGGUAAGCAUUGGAUUGGCUGAGAUCGUCAAUUUUUAUGAUCUCAGAAAAAGAGGCAGAGCUGCAACAAGGAGAGCAGUAAGUAAUACUCACCUUUCAAGCACAAGCAGUAAGUAAUACUCACCUUUCAAGUGGGAUCACCUACAUAGCUAGUAAGAAAUAAUAGUGUUAGGAAUACAUGUUUGGUUAUCAAUGAGAGAGCUAGCUUAAAUAAGAAUUUUCCAAUGAGGAAUGUUUAGAUUUAUUAUGUUGUAACCAGUGGUGGGAGAACACCAUGUACACACACCUCCCAAGUGUCCCUAUUUAGAAGGGACAGUCCCUAUUUUGGGCUCAUAGCUCUCUGCCCCUCUUUUCUAUCUCAAUGUCCUUCUUUUUAGGAGCUCCAUAUUGCUGGUGUGUAUACAUGUAUAACAGAGCUCCACAGCAAUACUACUCCCAGUAAUGUGUCUUUAAACUACAAUAAAUGUGUUUAGAAAUCAGUCUGUGUAAAUAAGAUACAUUGUUACUGAUCUAAAGUAUAUAAAUUGUUAUUAGUAAGUCAACUAAAAUUUCUCAGAACAGCUCUGCCCCUGGCCACACACGCUAAAAUGUAAGUGUUCCACUUUGUCCAUCUGUUAUGUUGCGAGGUGUGUGGACAUGGGUCUGAAGGUUAUGACAAUCAGGGGUGGGGGCACACCGUUUUGUCCUUGGACCCAAACAGCACCAUUUCUAGGGCCAACCCUCAUCCAGUGUUGCAACUGCUUCAGCUACAAAAUAAAAAAAAAGGAGCAGGUAGGGCUCGGGAGGGUAGCUCCCACUAAGCUCUGGCAAUUUGAGAUUUUAAAGGCAGAUAUGUCAUAUUUUUUAUCUAUCUAUAUAUAUAUACAUGUAAUACAAUUUAUCAGACAUAAUGAAUGGUUUAAUUGUUACCAGUAUAUGUUUAUUAUUUUAAUAUGCUUUUAUGGAAAAUAUAUUUUAUUUAGUUAGUUUUAGCUGUUUGUAUAUAGUUUUAUUUGUCUCAUUUUUUUCCCUUUUAAUGCAGAUAGCAGUCCUAUACCUAUUAAUAGCUUAGAUUACAUUUUUCAAUUAAACCCUUUAAUUAACUCUUCCUGUACCAUGUUAUCAUUUUUUUUUUUAAAAAGCUUAUAUUUACUUGCUGAAAAUUGAAUAGUUGAAUACAGACUGAAGUUUUGUUUGAAUGGAGAAAUGUUUCAGAGUAUUAGCAUACAGUGUCCGAUCAAUGUGUUAUUUCAGAAAAAUGGGAAAGUCAGGUACGUCCAACAAAAAAACGUUUGUUAACUACCUCGGACGUACCUGGUACAUCCGCGGCAAAUGUGAGCGCUGGAAGCGAUCGUUAUCGCUUCAAGAUGCUCUAACGGUAUUGCAGCGAUGCCUCGAUGUCGUGGCAUCCUGCAAUACCUCUCCUGACUGCCCGGCCAUUGGGUGAUCGCUCCUCAGGAGCGAUAACUUCCGUGUUGCCCCAAGUGGCGCCCGGUUGUGUAACAGAUCAUCGGAAGCCAAUCGGGCAGGCUUCCAAUGCUCUGCCUGUGUGCUGAGUUCCUCAAGGGGUCGGGGCACUCCGUGAAGAUUAAAUAAUAACUAAAAAAAAAAAUAAACUAAUAAAAAUUCCUAUUCGUUCCCCCGAGGGUGUUCGGUGUUCCUCUCCGUCAGGGGGGGGACUGUCUGACAGUCUUCCCUCUGCAUAUUAGGCCGCCGUUGGCCACAUGAUUGCUCUGAAAGAGCGGUCGCAUGGCCACAAUAGGCGUCCAUAGUGUAGGCAGUCUCCCUGCUGCUGUAAAAUAAAAAAAAGUUUUAAAAUAAAAAAUAAAUGUUAAUAAAUAAUAAAAAAAAAAAUAUAUGUGUAUAUAUAUGGGAUAUAUAUACAUAUAUUAUAUCCAUAUAUAAUAUGUAUAUAUAUAUAUAUCUUAUAUAUAACAUCAAACUAAGUGUAUUAUUUUAUUACUAUAUACAUAUAUUAAUAUAAAAAUACACUUAGAGUAAAAUUACACACGUAUAUAUAUAUAAUAUAUAUAAACUAUAUAUAUUGUGUAUAUAUAUAUAUAUAUAUAUAUAUAUAUAUAUAUAUAUUAUAAAAAUAAAUAAUAAUUAAUUAAAAAUGAAUUAAAAAUGUAAAAAUAAUAAAAAAAUAAUAUUUCAUAUAUAUAUAUAUAUGUAAUUGUAUUCUAACUGUAUUUUGAUAUUAAUAUAUAUAUAUAUAUAUAUAUAUAUAUAUAUAUAUAUCUCAAAAUACAUAUAUCUUUGUAUAUAUCAAUAAAUAAGUAAAAAUAAUACGAACUAUACAUAAUUCCAUAAAUAAUUUCAUAAAGAUACACGUAGACUUCAAAUAUAUAAAUAUGUAUAUAUAUUUAAAUUCUAUGUGCAUAUUUAUGUAAUAUUUUAAAAAUUUAAAAUUAAGUAAUUUUAUUGAUAUUGGAACCUGCCUGACAACCCAGGCCGAAAAUCCAGAGAAUUUAAUUUGCUAGCACUAUAUUUAACCCUGUAACUUUCCAAGACACCCUAAAACCUGUACAUAGGGGUACUGUUUGACUCGGUAGACUACGCCGAACACAAAUUUUAGUGUUUCAAAACAGUAAAACAUAUGACAGCAAUGAUAUUGUCAGUAAAAGUUAAUUUUUUUGCAUUUUUCACACUUUCACUGAUGAUAUAAUUGUUGUGAUACCUUUUACUGUUUUGUAAACACUAAUAUUUGUGUUCAGCGAGGUCUCCCGAGUUUUACAGUACUCCUCAUGUACAGGUUUUAAAGUGUUUUUGAAAGUUAUGGUGUCAAAUACAAGGCUUGCUUUUCCAUUUUUUUCACACUGAAAUUUGCCAGGUUGAUUAUGUUGCCUUUGAGAGCUUAUGGUAGCCCAGGAAUAAUUACCUCCAUGAUGGCAUACCAUUUUGCAAAAGAUGACAACCCAAGGUUUUGUAAAUGGGGAAUGUUCAGUCUUUUUUAGUAGCCACUUAGUCACAAACACUAGCCAAAGUGGCCUUCAUAAUAGUUUUUUGCAUUUUUAACACACAAACAAAUAUAAACGCUAACUUUGGUCAGUGUUUGUGACUAAGUGGUUACUAAAAAAGACUGGACAUCCCCAAUAUUGAAUACUCUGGGUUGUCUACUUUAAAAAAAUAUGUACAUGAGAGGUGUGAUUCAGAGAUUUAUGACAGAUAGCAGUAUUACAAUAUCAUUGAAACAGUAAUGUCCUACUUGUACUUAUAGCCUAAUAACUUGUAAAAGAAAAGCUAAGAACAUGUUAACAUUGGGUAUUUGUAAAAACAGGACAAAAUAUAGAUCUAUUUAGUAUGGUUUUUUUUUGGGGUGGGUUGUAGAUGCGUAACAGAUUUUGGGGGUCAAAUUUGAAAAAGUGUGUUUUUUUUAAAUGUUUUCAUCUUUUUUUAUAAAUAUUUUGUAGUAAAUUAUAUGAUAUGAUGAAAAUAAUGGUAUUUUUAGAAAGACCAUUUAAUGGCGAGAAAAACGGUAUAUGAUAUGUGUGGGUACACUAAAUGAGUAAGAGGGAAAUUACAGCUAAACACAAACAGCGCAGAAAUGUAAAAACAGCCCUGGUCCUUAACGGCAAGAAAAUUGAAAAACGGUCAGGUCACUAAGGGGUUAAAACAAAACAGCAAAAAUCAUUACUAUUCCUUAUUGAAUUAAAAGUUUGAAAUGUUUAAUUAUAUCACCUAAAAAAAUAAAAUUUCUUAGCAAGAAAACAGAGGGCUAUAUUGCAGAUAUAAUGUUCAUCUGCUCCACAAAACAGCAAUAACGCAAUUUUUUUUUAUUUUUUUAAAUGUAGAUUUUUAGGAGGGGGGAAGAGAGCCUUGUUUUUAAGAAGCACUCCAAACAACGUAACCAGCAUUUGGCUAGUGGUGAUCUUAUUUAUGGUAUUGGCCAAUGUUUACCCAAAUGAGGGUAUUAACUAGUGCUUAUUUCAUUAACAGUACUGGCAAGUACGGAUCCUUUUUACUGUAUUGGCCAGUGUUGAUAUAAUUCACAGCGGGGUUUGAAAUUUCCACUUGCCGCUAGCCACUGGCUAGUGAAAAUGUAGUCCUGGCUAUUAGACAUUGACUCUUGCUGAAUGUUCCAUAGACCUUUUAAAACCAGGCCAGUUGAGAAAGACUUAAAAUUUUAAGCUUAGAUUUCCGGUAUUGGCAAGUUUUGGUUAUCUUCAGGGUAUUGACCAAAUGUGUAUCCAAUUUAAGGUAUUGGCUUGUGAUAAUUCAUUAUGGGUACUGGCAAGUACACAUCCAAUUUAUGGCAUUGGCCAGUGUUGAUCCCACUUAGGGUACUGACUAAUGAUUAUUUCAAUAAUGGUACUGGCCAGUGUUGAUCCCACUUAGGGUACUGACUAAUGAUUAUUUCAAUAAUGGUACUGGCCAGUGUUGAUCCCACUUAGGGUACUGACUAAUGAUUAUUUCAAUAAUGGUACUGGCCAGUGUUGAUCCCACUUAGGGUGCUGACUAAUGAUUAUUUCAAUAAUGGUACUGGCCAGUGUUGAUCCCACUUAGGGUACUGACUAAUGAUUAUUUCAAUAAUGGUACUGGCCAGUGUUGAUCCCACUUAGGGUACUGACUAAUGAUUAUUUAAAUAAUGGUACUGGCCAGUGUUGAUCCCACUUAGGGUGCUGACUAAUGAUUAUUUAAAUAAUGGUACUGGCCAGUGUUGAUCCCACUUAGGGUGCUGACUAAUGAUUAUUUCAAUAAUGGUACUGGCCAGUGUUGAUCCCACUUAGGGUGCUGACUAAUGAUUAUUUCAAUAAUGGUACUGGCCAGUGUUGAUCCCACUUAGGGUACUGACUAAUGAUUAUUUAAAUAAUGGUACUGGCCAGUGUUGAUCCCACUUAGGGUACUGACUAAUGAUUAUUUAAAUAAUGGUACUGGCCAGUGUUGAAUUUGGAGUUAUUGAUCAGUACUUAUGAUGUAAAAUGUAGAUGUUGAUGGCCCCAUUGUAAUACACACUGAUGGGAGUAUUCAAGGUUAGUGAUUUGAGUAACACACGCAAGGAUGGCUUGUUCUGUGUUAGGGAUUAUGAGGAUAAUAUAUAUAUAUAUAUCUGCUGGUGUAACGAGAACUCCUGGAAAAUAAUAGUAAAAUACUAGCAAUGCUAAUGGCUAUGCUGCGUUAUUCAAUAAAUUUGUGAUAUUUCAUGUAUGAACGACACACCCAGAGAGGGAAAAUAAAAAUACUCUGUCUCUCCAUCUCUCCCUAUCAGAUACACUCCCUCUCUUUCUCUCCCUCUUACUCUCUCUCAAUCCAUCAGUCUGUCUCAUUCUCUACUUCAAUAUAUAUAAAUCUGAUUGUCAUCAUUCUCACACACAUAAAUACAAAGACAGUCCUAGACAAUCCGGUGCAUAGAGCUAGUAUAUCACAAUAUUUUUGUGUGCACAUAAAUAAUAAUAGCAAUUUUAUAUUAUAUAUAUAUAUAUAUAUAUCUUCACUGUUUCUCUCCAAUGCAUUUGAUCAUCUCAUCAAGUCCCAUGGCUUAACCAAUCUCUUUUCAUGCUCAGGAUAAAAAGAGAAGAACUUCAAAGCAGGUUCAGGUAAUUAAGAGCUGAGGGGAAUAUAAUUUAAACCACAGGCCUUGCUUUGCACCCAGGUCUGCGUUCAGAGCCAGCCGGCAAGGGAGGGACUAUUCCCUGCUGUAUCCAAAUCUGCUUCCUCUGAACAGCUCUGCCAGGCCUCCAGUUAUCACAUCUGCAUUUCAAACAGCGUGUCUCUGGCAUUAAUUAUUAAUUAGCCUACAGUCACCCCAGAGGAUUUAAGUUCCAGCCUGCACAUACUUAUUCAUUGACCUCUAUCUUAGUUUUUUGUUGGAAAAAAACCUCUCUAGAAUGUCUAAUAAUUUCCUUUCUCUCUGAAUUCUCACUUAGAAUUUUGCAAGUGAUGUGCAGUGCAGCCGGAGUCACAGAGCCUAGAAAGAGGCGUCCAAUAACCUUCCCUAAAAAAAUCAAUUUCAGUUGCGCAACCAUGUCCUGCCAGUCAAUAAAUUGUUCGACUCUGUGGUUCCAUCCCAAUAACAUUAGUGUUACUGUUGCCUAAUCAACUCUGGAUAAGGCUUCAAAGUGUUAAUCCUUACAUAGGAAUCAAGGUAUCAAUCCCUGUGUUUAGAUGAACGACUUGCUAGGUUUUUACCCCAUUUUACAGUGAACAGAUUCACACAGCACUCCAGAAUAUGUUGGUGCCUUAUAAAUAAUUUUAAAUAAUAAUAAUACUUAUGCAUUACAACAUCAUUUAAAUUAAAUAUGCCCUUUAAUCGACUCUGUAUCGAUGCUGUAAAUUAUAAAAUGUAAAAACACCUGGACAAAAAAAAUUAUGUUUACUAUUGAUAACACCAAACCUAGUCAUGUGACAGAAAGAGAGGACAAUAAAAAGUUUAAAAAAACAAAAAAAAAUACCAAACUAAAAACAAAAACCAAAAAACUUAAAUGCAACUAGAGAAAUAUGUGUAAAAUCAGAGUGAUUGCAAAAUGAAGAGAUUUUAACUCCGAAAGACAUCUGAUUGGCUGGGCUGUUCCAGUUUUUUGUUUGUUUUUAUUGAAGACUGUUGAUGGGCAUUGUUUGACAUUGUUUGAUGUGGUCAUUUCAUUCUUUAAACUCCCGGGAUAUUAGUAAUUAGGAGCUGGCACCAAUUAGUGUAAUAGUAACUGGACUUUCCUCUGGUUAUUUUUAGGGCGUGCUUUACUGUACAAGAAGAACUGGACCUCCCACUGGUACCUAGGGGGCAUGUUUAAUAUUAUUAAAGACCAGGCAUCUCUCGAGUAAUGGGAGUACUGGGAUUAAUACUACUUAGUACCUGACAUUUAGUACAAGACAUUUUGCUGCCUAACAUCUCUCUUCCUUCUAAUCAGCCAGUCAAACGUACAUAAUUGCCCACACACAUACAUACGUGUAUAUAAUAUAAUAAGGCACACACGUAAAACUAACCAUCACAUUCACAUACUUAGUAACACAUUUAAACACCUACACAUCAACACAUAGUCACAAAUACACACACACACAAUACAUCCCUCUGGUUGUGUCAUUAGGAUGGCACUGGCAUCGCUAUGGACCAAGAGACUGAGAACUCCCUAAAAACACCCAUCUCAUAGGGACCCGGGGGUGGGGGUAGAUAUAUCCUCCUGACACCUUUACUGAUAAUUCUUAAGCUAUGCACUGGGCUUCGUUAUUAGAAGAUGUGGAAGAUGAGGAGGCAGGUUCAUGGCUGUAUCAUGGUUUGGAGGGUGUCUCAUGUCCCCCUUAUUUGUUAAUAUUUAUUUAUGUAUUCAUUCAUAUCUAUUUAGUUUAACUAUUUAAUUGCUGACAGUUUAAUGUAAUCUGCUUUUUGGUGCUUUUCCUCAAGGAACAAAACUUCAUAGUCAGUCAGCUCAAGGAGAGAUUUAAUAGUCAGUUCAAGACAAUUUCAUAUGGUCCUUAUACCUCCCUACUAUUGGUGCUUUGAGAGUAGCAUGAGUAUGAGAUAGACUUCAAAUAUCCAUCUUGCGCUAUGCUCACAUAGCUUUAGUCAGGCGACUUUGAUAGACUGAAUUGGAGAGACCAUUUUAAUAAACUGAAUUGGAAAGACCUUUUUAAUAAACUGAAUUAAAGAGACCGUUUUAAUCAACUGAAUUGGAGAGACCAUUUUAAUAAACUGAAUUGGAGAGAACAUUUUGAUAGACUGAAUUGGAGAGACCAUUUUAAUAAACUGAAUUACAGAGACCAUUUUAAUAAACUGAAUUGGAGAGAACAUUUUAAUAAACUGAAUUACAGACACCCUUUUAAUAAACUGAAUUGGAGAGAACAUUUUGAUAGACUGAAUUGAAGAGAACAUUUUAAUAAACUGAAUUGGAGAGACCAUUUUUAAUAAACUGAAUUGGAGAGACCAUUUUUAAUAAACUGAAUUGGACAGACCAUUUUAAUAAACUGAAUUACAGACACCCUUUUAAUAAACUGAAUUAGUGAGACCAUUUUAAUAAACUGAAUUGGAUAGACAAUUUUAAUAAACUGAAUUGGGGAGACCAUUUUAAUAAACUGAAUCAGAGAGACCAUUUUGAAUUAAAUAGUAAUUGGUUUGUGGUCAGGCAAAAUGCUGUACCCGUAUGAGUUAGUUGGAUGUUUUUAACGCAAAAUCAACUGAAACUGUCUCGAUUAUGUUAAUUAAUUCAGCAAAAACAUUGUUAGUGAACACCGCCAGCGUGUACAAUUUUCUCCAAGUCACUUAUUACACACAAUUAGACAUUGCACGUCCGUGGAUAGACCUUUCUGUUUUGGUUUGGUCUUUUUGUUUUGGUCUUUGCUGUUUGUCUAGCUCAGCAAAUCUCAAAUCUUACUGAAAAUUUGAGGGUCAUGUUUUAUUUUAAAAAGGAAAUCUGUAACCCUAAUUUUUUUUCUAAGAACAAUAUGGAAAUAUAUGUCAACAUAUUUAUGUCCUGUCUGUGCUGUGGUAUUUCGAGGUGUACUUUUGCUUAAUCCGAAUGACUGUUUACUGUAAAUCUAUAUGUUUUCUUUGGUUACUUGCAGGCUACGUUGAUGUCAUCAGUUAUGGUGGGAUUAGCAUGAUGGACCAUAAAGCAGAGAGAAAAUACCAAGUUAAGAGAAGAGGGACUACGACCAUACUCUUUAUGUUAAAAAUUGUUGCCCACCCUUACCCCCCUUAAAAGCAUGAAAAACUCACCUUAUUUCAAGCGUUGUGUGGGUCCGCCGGCACUGGGCCCUCCUCCUUGGUGACAUAAUCAGAAUUGCCGGUUUUUAGCCAAUCCAAUGCUUUGCCAAGAGGGCGGGACCAAACACCGUUUUGGCCAAUCAGAAUCAAUGCAUCUCUAUGAGGAAAAUUCAGGAUCCCCAUGCAGAGCGUGGGGACACUGAACGGCAGAGCUACCUACUGUGCAGCACUGAGUCAGGAAGCACCUCCAGAGGCAAUGUAAACACUGCCUUUUCUCUGAAAAUGAAAAUGCCUGAAGGUAAUGAUUAAACUCACCAGAACAACUACAUUAAGCUGUAGUUGUUCUGGUGACUAUAGUGUCCCUUUAAUAAGUAAAAAUCAUGCUAUUUCCAAUUUAUGAAAACAGAAAGCCAUGGACAACAUAAUUACAAAUGUAUUUUGCAUUUUGUCCAGACCGCUAUUUUAAAAAAAACAAUAGCUUUUUGUUAGUCAGGGAUGGAGGCAGGAACAUUAUGAUAACACCUUUUUAAAAUGGAUUAUCCAGAAAGUGGCCCUAGGUGGUUUCCUAGGGCCCAGAGGUUAGACAGUGUCCCUAGUACCAUGAAUUUGGUUGGCUUUAUUAACCAUCUGUAUGUGAAAACUUAUGGGGGGGGGGGGGCACAAACUGGUAGCUGUCCGAUGGCUGUUAAUCCUUCUCUGAUUUAUAUCCAGAGGUAUCUGCUUCUGUGUGCGCACAAAGUACUUCUUUAAGUGCCAGUUCGAAACUGUCUUGUUUUUCUUAUUAUGCAGUGCGUGGAAUGUUCAACACUUAAUAGCUGAAUAGUUAAAGAGUCCCUCAAUAAUAGGUAACAUAUUACUUUUACAAUAUAGUUGUGGUCUGGAGGGCUAGCAGUGCAAGACUGAAAAAGUACAAAGGUCAUCCAGUCUUUCUUCCCAGAGUGACAGAAAAUGUCAUUUUCAAAUGUUUUCUUUCAUUAUUUGACCCCAAAUCCUCCACUAGCAGCAAUUGUAACUCUGUAGAAGGUUAUAUAAGGUUUAGAACUGUGAAGAGAGCACAGCAUUGAGAGAACAGCUAAAACCAGAUAGGAGCUGUUUCCCUUUAUGUUGGUAACUGUAAGGACAGGCUGGGCCUGGAUAACUUAAAUUAAAAUUACAAAAACAAAGAAUUUAAAAGGUGAAUUUUCAGCGACAGCUUCUUAGCACCAUAACCACUACAUCAACCUUUAGUGGUUAUGGACUUGGUAGGUCUACAUUUCCCAGUUCUAUAAUAUUUAUGUGGUCUUUUAUUGUUAAUGCAGAGUUUGUAUUAUGCAUUAUUUUGUUUUAGUUAUUUUUCGGCUAACAUUCAGACUGUCUCUUUGUGUAUGUCCCAGAAUGAGUGUUGUAUAGGCCUCAGUGUCCUCUUAGUGUCUAUACCAGGCUUCCCCAAACUCCGACCCUCCAGAUGUUGCUGAACUACAACUCCCAUGAUUCUAUAAAUGAAAUAGAUAGGCUGAGAAUCAUGGGAGUUGUAGUUCAGCAACAUCUGGAGGGCCAGAGUUUAGGGAAGCCUGGUCUAUACCAACCAGUGACUGGCAAUGCGGGCAUCUUUAAACCAAUGGUCAACUAUACCGAAGUGGAGGACACCUUAUUUUUCAGGCAAGGUCCCUCAUAGCCAUUCCAGGCAUUCUGUCCUGAUCUUCUUCCAUCAGACAGCCAUAGUAAUUAUUGUAGCAUUACUUGAAGUGGUUUUCACCAUUGAUGUCACCCUUGCAGCCUUUCAAAAUGGAAACAGUGCCAUGGCUAAGAAAUUGCACUGCUCCCACUUUGUAGUUGGCACGUCUACUAGUGACUGAGUCAGCAGCUAUGUUAGAUGCACACCAGUUGGACCAGGUUAAAUCCAGGUAAAGAAUUGAGUGAAAUGGUAAUAAAAUAACAAGACUGAUGAUAAAGAGUUUGCUUUAUUCCACUUGUGUUCACAGUAAUAUUGUCUAGUAUUAGCAGUCCAGUCAUGUGUUCCUCCUUCCUAUGCUCUUAGCCGUGCGUUAAUAUUGUCUGAACAACAUUCAAAUAAAGCUUGUUUGUUCCCAAAACUGAUUAAAAGACUGUUGGCCAUUUGUGUCUAAAUAACCAUGUCCAUUUACAUUUUGUCUGUAUUUGUAUCUACAGGAGAAAUAUAAAGUAAAACAAUCUAUAGAACUCUAUAACUAUAAAGCUAUAUACUGAAGUGAUUUUGAGCUGAAUCUUAUCUUACAUUAUGUGUUUAUACAUUCAUCUAUUUCUCAUGAUCUAAAUGCUAUUUUAAUGGGCAUGUUGUGUGUUCAAAUUCAAUACUGCUCUGUGAGACGUCACACUGUGCAAUAUGAGCUAACUGUAGUAGCCAUUUGCUCUCUUUUUGUACUGAGGCCUCCGUGCAAUAUUGAGACAAACAUGCCUUAGGUUUCCUGAGUUCCAUUUUAAAUUGGCAGAUGUAUUUUGUGACUGGGAAGGGUUGGGAAGAGAGUCAGACAUGGUUUGUGUUUCCCCCCUCCUUUUUACCCUGCAUUUAGGAGAAGGAGACAGUAGUAACCAGUGCUAAGGUUAGAGUGCUAAAGGACAGGUUAUACAGUGUUCAACAUGUUACAAAUCAAUGACUGCGCAAACAGUCUUUAAAGGUUUCAUGAAUUAUGGUUUCAUUGGGUUGGUAAGUAAGGCAAAUCAUUUUUAGGCAUUUUGUACUUUUAUGGAAAUACCUGAGUAAUUACUGUUAUGAAAAUGUAGUUAAUUAUAAAUUAUGUAGCAAAAUGAAUGAUCAUCACUUACUAAUCAUAUAUUGUAUAUUAUUGUAGAUGUCGACUGACACAUACCACGAGAGAAACACAACGACCACUGACUACCUCGAGUCUCUUCCAAGAUGAAUGGCUCUAAGUCACACUGUGUCAUCCUGCUGACAGUCUAAAUGCAAAUUGAAAGUGAAAUCUUGUAUUACGAAUCGUGAUACAUUUAGUAAGCUCUAAUUUAGCGCCAAGCCCACGACCUGGUACGUCAUGACCCUUAGUAACUUUCUAGCAAGGAGAAAAUGUGGCAAAGAUCAGAAUUUGGUGACAUUAGGGAAAGUUUGCUUUUAAAAAAAAAGUGGUUCUUUUAGUCAAGUGAUUUUCUAAUUUUUUUUUUUUUCAUACGUGCCUUGUUGUGCCUUUGUGGAUAAUCCCACAUCAUUAUUCACUUAGCUGUCUGAGCUUCUCUCACUCCUCCUUCUGAGACUGCAAGGGCACCUCAGCGUACGAAAAUGGGUGGCAUAAAUUAACGGGGGAGGAAAAAUCAUGCAAAUCCGGCAAAGAUGGAUCGUUACUUUGAGUUGGUGAGGAUUUGGGAAGGUGACAGAUCUGCUUUAAUAUGGAAAAAUAUUCCUAUAUCUCCAUAUGGCUUACUAAAAUAGCACCAGAUUGAGCUAUCAAUGUGGAGGACUGUUUGUUAUACAAUUUGCAAACAGGAGAAAUGAGAAAUCUUUCCAGGGCGUGCUAUGAUAUAUAUCCAAUAUAAAUCUGUGAAUUAUGUAGAAGGUAGACUAUAUAUUUAAAAAAUAUAUAUUUAUUAUACUCUUCCAUUUAAAGUAACAAAAUGCAUUCAUUUGUAACCUAGAUAUGUGUAAAUCUUAAAAGUUUAAAUAAAUCAUCGAAAAAUAGAGAAAACUGGAAUAUUAUGCAAUAUGUACGUUGAUU